AGAGUUUGAUCAUGGCUCAGGAUGAACGCUAGCGGCAGGCUUAAUACAUGCAAGUCGAGGGGCAGCAGGGGCGUAGCAAUACGUUCGCUGGCGACCGGCAAACGGGUGCGGAACACGUACACAACCUUCCUUAAAGUGGGGGAUAGCCCGGGGAAACCCGGAUUAAUACCCCGUAACAUAAUGAAGUGGCAUCGCUUUAUUAUUAUAGCAGCAAUGCGCUUAAAGAUGGGUGUGCGACUGAUUAGGCAGUUGGCGGGGUAACGGCCCACCAAACCUACGAUCAGUAACUGGUGUGAGAGCACGACCAGUCACACGGGCACUGAGACACGGGCCCGACUCCUACGGGAGGCAGCAGUAAGGAAUAUUGGUCAAUGGACGCAAGUCUGAACCAGCCAUGCCGCGUGGAGGAUGAAGGUCCUCUGGAUUGUAAACUUCUUUUAUCUGGGAAGAAAUCCACAAAUUCUUUUGUGGUUGACGGUACCAGAUGAAUAAGCACCGGCUAACUCCGUGCCAGCAGCCGCGGUAAUACGGAGGGUGCAAGCGUUAUCCGGAUUCACUGGGUUUAAAGGGUGCGUAGGUGGGUUGGUAAGUCAGUGGUGAAAUCUCCAGGCUUAACUUGGAAACUGCCAUUGAUACUAUCAAUCUUGAAUACCGUGGAGGUCAGCGGAAUAUGUCAUGUAGCGGUGAAAUGCUUAGAGAUGACAUAGAACACCAAUUGCGAAGGCAGCUGGCUACGCGGAUAUUGACACUGAUGCACGAAAGCGUGGGGAUCAAACAGGAUUAGAUACCCUAGUAGUCC
Molecule: ribosomal RNA, 799 nt
Filed under: uncultured bacterium
Lineage: Bacteria
Description: bacterial SSU rRNA
Rfam family: Bacterial small subunit ribosomal RNA
Source: RNAcentral